GAUGAAGAACGCAGCGAAACGCGAUAGGUAAUGUGAAUUGCAGAAUUCCGUGAAUCAUCGAAUCUUUGAACGCACAUUGCGCCCCUUGGUAUCCCGAGGGGCAUGCCUGUUCGAGCGUCAUUUCACCACUCAAGCCUGGCUUGGUGUUGGGCGACGUCCCCUUUGGGGACGCGCCUCGAAACGCUCGGCGGCGUGGCACCGGCUUUAAGCGUAGCAGAAUCUUUCGCUUUGGAAGUCGGGGCCCCGUCUGCCGGAAGACCUACUCGCAAGGUUGACCUCGGAUCAGGCAGGGAUACCCGCUGAACUUAAGCAUAUCAAUAAGCGGAGGA
Molecule: unclassified non-coding RNA, 329 nt
Filed under: soil metagenome
Description: partial contains 5.8S ribosomal RNA, internal transcribed spacer 2, and large subunit ribosomal RNA
Rfam family: 5.8S ribosomal RNA (bases 1-120)
Source: RNAcentral